RNAcentral lists this ribosomal RNA (492 nucleotides) under uncultured bacterium. RNAcentral describes it as "partial 16S ribosomal RNA". It matches the Rfam family "Bacterial small subunit ribosomal RNA", at positions 29 to 507 of the family's 1533-position model. The record is from RNAcentral.
AGUGAACGCUGGCGGUAGGCCUAACACAUGCAAGUCGAACGGCAGCACAGUAAGAGCUUGCUCUUACGGGUGGCGAGUGGCGGACGGGUGAGGAAUACAUCGGAAUCUACUUUUUCGUGGGGGCUAACGUAGGGAAACUUACGCUAAUACCGCAUACGACCUACGGGUGAAAGCAGGGGAUUUUCGGACUUUGCGCGAUUGAAUGAGCCGAUGUCGGAUUAGCUAGUUGGCGGGGUAAAGGCCCACCAAGGCGACGAUCCGUAGCUGGUCUGAGAGGAUGAACAGCCACACUGGAACUGAGACACGGUCCAGACUCCUACGGGAGGCAGCAGUGGGGAAUAUUGGACAAUGGGCGCAAGCCUGAUCCAGCCAUACCGCGUGGGUGAAGAAGGCCUUCGGGUUGUAAAACCCUUUUGUUGGGAAAGAAAAGCAGCAGGUUAAUACCCCGCUGUUCUGACGGUACCCAAAGAAUAAGCACCGGCUAACUUCGUG